AUUGAACGCUGGCGGCAUGCCUUACACAUGCAAGUCGAACGGCAGCACGGGAGCAAUCCUGGUGGCGAGUGGCGAACGGGUGAGUAAUAUAUCGGAACGUGCCCAGUCGUGGGGAUAACGUAGCGAAAGCUACGCUAAUACCGCAUACGAUCUAUGGAUGAAAGCGGGGGAUCGCAAGACCUCGCGCGAUUUGGAGCGGCCGAUAUCAGAUUAGGUAGUUGGUGAGGUAAAGGCNCACCAAGCCGACGAUCUGUAGCUGGUCUGAGAGGACGACCAGCCACACUGGGACUGAGACA
This 296-nucleotide ribosomal RNA is filed under the name uncultured bacterium. Its description in RNAcentral is "partial 16S ribosomal RNA". It matches the Rfam family "Bacterial small subunit ribosomal RNA", at positions 30 to 326 of the family's 1533-position model. The record is from RNAcentral.